GGCUCUGGAGAAUCUCAUUGAGUUGAGUGCCGAAGGUGCAAGGCGGCAAUGCCGCCGAAUCUCUCAGGCAAAAGGACAGAGCGG
RNAcentral lists this non-coding RNA (84 nucleotides) under uncultured Angelakisella sp. RNAcentral describes it as "Glycine riboswitch". It matches the Rfam family "Glycine riboswitch aptamer", at positions 8 to 87 of the family's 94-position model. Rfam says of the family: This family represents the bacterial glycine riboswitch. Glycine riboswitches usually consist of two metabolite-binding aptamers domains with similar structures in tandem. The aptamers cooperatively bind glycine to regulate the expression of downstream genes. The record is from RNAcentral. Lineage: Bacteria; Bacillati; Bacillota; Clostridia; Eubacteriales; Oscillospiraceae.